RNAcentral lists this long non-coding RNA (451 nucleotides) under Parus major (Great Tit). Its description in RNAcentral is "lncRNA (ENSPMJG00000015432.1)". Lineage: Eukaryota; Metazoa; Chordata; Aves; Passeriformes; Paridae. The record is from RNAcentral.
UUAGAAAACCAUGUCAGCAAGCUCAGAAGCUGAGCUUUCAGGGCGACACCAGGGCUCCAGCUUGCUUUAUUUUAAGACUCUCUUACCUUUUUUGCUGAAUGAAGGGCUCACAGAUCACAACUCUGCCUUCCGAUGGUAAAGCAAAUCCAAUGGCCACUGCAGGGUACACUUACGUAAAAACUGCCAAGCAUGGAACAAAGGACACUUUCAGAAGAUUAUUUAUUUAUACUUCAUGAAUUUUGAGCAAAGGUUUUGUGCUUCAGCCCAUGUGAAAGAUAACUCCAUCAGGUGUGUUAUCUAAAAUAUAGAAGUUGCACAUUGAAGUUGCAUAUUGAAUAAGAAGCAAAUGAAAUACCAGUGGAUUCAUAUGCACACUGCACUGUAGGUAGGGAAGCCAAUAAUAUGAGGUUUCUUCAUUUUUCUUUCUUGCUGCUUUUCUUUUGGUGUUUUC